AGCGAACGUUAGCGGCGGGCCUAACACAUGCAAGUCGAGCGAGAAAGGGGCUUCGGUCCUGAGUAAAGCGGCGGACGGGUGAGUAACACGUAGGUAAUCUUCCCUUGAGCGGGGGACAACGGUCCGAAAGGACCGCUAAUACCGCGUACGUUUCCGAGGACCUCGGUCCUUGGAAGGAAAGCUAGGUCGCAAGAUCCAGCACUCGAGGAGGAGCCUGCGUCGCAUCAGCUAGUUGGUGGGGUAAUGGCCUACCAAGGCGAAGACGCGUAGCUGGUCUGAGAGGGUGGCCCCCCACAAUGGAACUGAAACACGGUCCAUACACCUACGGGAGGCAG
RNAcentral lists this ribosomal RNA (335 nucleotides) under uncultured Pseudomonadota bacterium. RNAcentral describes it as "bacterial SSU rRNA". It matches the Rfam family "Bacterial small subunit ribosomal RNA", at positions 29 to 351 of the family's 1533-position model. Lineage: Bacteria; Pseudomonadati; Pseudomonadota. The record is from RNAcentral.